Long non-coding RNA from Perca fluviatilis (European perch), 279 nucleotides. RefSeq lists it as uncharacterized. The transcript is spliced from 3 exons. NCBI's taxonomy places the organism in Eukaryota, Metazoa, Chordata, Actinopteri, Perciformes, Percidae. The record is from RefSeq and is a predicted model, not a curated record.
AAAGGUGAACCUGGAUAUCUUUGACGCUGCUGUGUCAUUUGUUAAUGUAAAUAACAACCACUGGCGUUUCGUGUACCUUCAUGCGCCUUUAAGGACUUUAUUUGUGAUGGAUCCUGCCACUGCAGAACAAGAUUUUCACCUCUCCAUAACUGCUGUUCAGCGUUACAACAGCUACUUUCGGAUGCGGCAGAAUGUAAUUGGGAAACAGGUGUGGAGCAGUAUAAAGUGGAAAGCUGCAACUACUCCACACCCAAUCCAAAAAGAUUCCACAAGCUGCGG